UUGUAGUCCACGCCCUAAACGAUGGAUGCUAGAUAUUGGAAGUGUCGACCCUUCCAGUGUCGUUAUAAAAAAGCUAACGCGUUAAGCAUCCCGCCUGGGAAGUACGGCCGCAAGGCUAAAACUCAAAGGAAUAGACGGGGACCUGCACAAGCGGUGGAUCAUGUGGUUUAAUUCGACGACAAACGAGGAACCUUACCAGGACUUGACAUUCUACUAGUAAGCCGACGGAAACAUCGGCUGACCGUUAAAUCGGCGAGUAGAACAGGUGCUGCAUGGUUGUCGUCAGCUCGUGUUGUGAAAUGUACCUUUAAUUAGGACAACGAGCGCAACCCUUAUCCUUAAUUGCUCCGGCGUUCGUCGGAGAAAUUUUAAGGAGACUGCCGGUGAUAAACCGGAGGAAGGAGAGGAUGACGCCAAAUCCGCACGGCCUUUAUGUCCUGGGCUACACACAUGAUACAAUGGCCGGCACAAAGGGUAGCCAAGUCGUAAGACGGAGCUUAAUCCCAUCAAAGCCGGUCUCAGUUCGGAUUGAGGUCUGAAACCUGACCUCAUGAAGCUGAAAUCGCUAGUAACCGUAUAUCAGCUAUGGUACGGUGAAUACGUUCUCAGGUCUUGUACUCACCGCCCGUCACGUCAAGAGAGUCGGUAAUAUCCGAGACCCCGCGUUCGCGGGAUAAAGAUAGGACCGAUAAUAGGGACGAAGUCGUAACAAGGCACCCGUAGCGGAAGCUGUGGGUG
Molecule: ribosomal RNA, 738 nt
Filed under: bacterium (Candidatus Moisslbacteria) CG02_land_8_20_14_3_00_36_53
Lineage: Bacteria
Description: bacterial SSU rRNA
Rfam family: Bacterial small subunit ribosomal RNA
Source: RNAcentral